RNAcentral lists this transfer RNA (72 nucleotides) under Camelus bactrianus (Bactrian camel). It matches the Rfam family "tRNA". From Rfam's summary of the family: Transfer RNA (tRNA) molecules are approximately 80 nucleotides in length. RNAcentral also lists the same sequence under 2 other names. Lineage: Eukaryota; Metazoa; Chordata; Mammalia; Artiodactyla; Camelidae. The record is from Rfam by way of RNAcentral.
GAGGACAUAGCUCAGCGGUAGAGUGCAUGCUCAGCGUGCAUGAGGUCCUGGGUUCAAUCCCCAGUGCCUCCA